RNAcentral lists this long non-coding RNA (151 nucleotides) under Junco hyemalis (dark-eyed junco). RNAcentral's name for it is "lncRNA (ENSJHYG00000012725.1)". The record is from RNAcentral. Lineage: Eukaryota; Metazoa; Chordata; Aves; Passeriformes; Passerellidae.
AAAAAUACUUUUUUAAAGGUGAAGUGUUAAAGUUUUGUUGUUUACCUAGGACUUUGUGCCCGAAGUUUCCUUUGUUUCAUGGACUAUCUGUGGACUCCAAGCUUUCUUAGGAGGGGAAAAGAAGAUACAGGAGAAGUCUGAGAAUUCUGUC